This is a long non-coding RNA of Pezoporus flaviventris, 1023 nucleotides long. RefSeq lists it as uncharacterized. Lineage: Eukaryota; Metazoa; Chordata; Aves; Psittaciformes; Psittacidae. The transcript has 3 exons. The record is from RefSeq and is a predicted model, not a curated record.
UCUCCCUGCUCACAAGUCUUUCACAGGUAUUACACUACCUUCUAUUUUUUACCUUCACCUUUUUCUCUGUAAUCCACCCUCAGAAGCACCCACUUGUAAAGCAAAAUGCAGCUCCUUCCACAGAGAAUAUCCAAAUUCCCAAAACAUGUAUUUUAUUUUUUUGUGGGUUCCAAAAGUCAAGUAAUAUUUUAAAUCAAAGUAGUCAUUAAUCAUAGAAUCACAGACUGCUUUGGUUUGGAAGGGACCUUAAAGAUCAUCCAGUUCCAACCCCCUGCCGUGACCUUAUUUCUAUAUUCAGCCAAUUCAAACUAUCUUUGAUUUCGUGCUGCAGGAAAAAGGGACUCUAAAAGCGAUGGGUGAAUUCAGCAAUUGUCCAAGAUUCCCCAGUACUGAGUUUGCAGUGCAAGCAUGAAGUGUUCCAGAGGAGGGAGCCCUCUCUUAAUCCUGGAAUUGGAAGGAGGGAGCGUGUCUUUGACGGGAAAACUGGGAAAAUAGUAAUUCAGUCUUUUCCACUUUAGAGCUAGAACAUGAGAGAGAGCUCCUGGAAAAUAAAAUCUUCUUGGUUAUGUUUUCAGGUUCACUACAACAAUUACAAAAACCUAGAAAGCUCCCCAAAUCCGUGGUAACUGAAGUCAGAACUUGUCAGAAACGUACUCGCAAAAAACUGUCAUCGCGCUAAUGUGUUGAUGUGACACAAACUGGCCCUUCCCAGUAGGGUUUUAUCACCAGCAGCUGGUUUAAUUUUCAGACUAAUUUUUGCUGUUUAUUCUAUAACUGUAAUCGUAAGUUUCCGUUCUUAAAUCAGGCAUUUGCUUCGGGAAGGAUUUAGCAGCCGUCAGUCCCCCGGCUGAGGCUGAUGUUUUAAUUAUAACCACAGCACUUCCCACAGCGGGCUGCGUUGAUGGUGGCACACGGGGGAGAUCAACACCAGCUCCACAAACCCCCGGUGUCACACCCAAACAACUUUAAGAUGAAGCCAUAAACCGGAGGGAGCCGGUACCGACCCCACCGUGCCUGGCCCCG